RNAcentral lists this small RNA (168 nucleotides) under Chrysemys picta bellii (western painted turtle). RNAcentral describes it as "TUC338 (ENSCPBG00000023384.1)". Lineage: Eukaryota; Metazoa; Chordata; Testudines; Emydidae. The record is from RNAcentral.
GUGAAAUCCUUGACUGCGGAAGUCUCUAACUAAAGCAUCACAUGCACUGCUUGCCAUAUGACACUUAUCCACGUUGCCCUGCUAACAUGAUUCAAACUCUCUUUGGAAGGAUCACCGCUACGGGUGAGAGGAUGUUCAGUGUCCAUGACCAUUCAGUCCUCAGCAAGA